This 235-nucleotide ribosomal RNA is filed under the name uncultured bacterium. RNAcentral describes it as "partial 16S ribosomal RNA". It matches the Rfam family "Bacterial small subunit ribosomal RNA", at positions 15 to 244 of the family's 1533-position model. The record is from RNAcentral.
GAUCCUGGCUCAGGACGAACGCUGGCGGCGCGCCUAACACAUGCAAGUCGAACGAGAGAUGAGGAGCUUGCUCUUCAAAUCGAGUGGCGAACGGGUGAGUAACGCGUGAGGAACCUGCCUCAAAGAGGGGGGACAACAGUUGGAAACGACUGCUAAUACCGCAUAAGCCCACGGCUCGGCAUCGAGCAGAGGGAAAAGGAGCAAUCCGCUUUGAGAUGGCCUCGCGUCCGAUUAG